RNAcentral lists this ribosomal RNA (424 nucleotides) under Verrucomicrobiota bacterium. RNAcentral's name for it is "Verrucomicrobia bacterium partial 16S ribosomal RNA". It matches the Rfam family "Bacterial small subunit ribosomal RNA", at positions 355 to 776 of the family's 1533-position model. The record is from RNAcentral. Lineage: Bacteria; Pseudomonadati; Verrucomicrobiota.
UGAGGAAUAUUGGUCAAUGGGCGCUAGCCUGAACCAGCCAAGUAGCGUGCAGGACGACGGCCCUAUGGGUUGUAAACUGCUUUUAUGCGGGGAUAAAGUCACCCACGUGUGGGUGUUUGCAGGUAUCGCAUGAAUAAGGACCGGCUAAUUCCGUGCCAGCAGCCGCGGUAAUACGGAAGGUCCGUGCGUUAUCCGGAUUUAUUGGGUUUAAAGGGAGUGUAGGCGGCCUGUUAAGCGUGUUGUGAAAUGUAGAUGCUCAACAUCUGAACUGCAGCGCGAACUGGCUGGCUUGAGUACACGCAACGUGGGCGGAAUUCAUGGUGUAGCGGUGAAAUGCUUAGAUAUCAUGAGGAACUCCUAUUGCGAAGGCAGCUCACGGGAGUGUCACUGACGCUUAAGCUCGAAGGUGCGGGUAUCAAACAGG